This 72-nucleotide transfer RNA is filed under the name Camelus bactrianus (Bactrian camel). It matches the Rfam family "tRNA". Rfam says of the family: Transfer RNA (tRNA) molecules are approximately 80 nucleotides in length. Their secondary structure includes four short double-helical elements and three loops (D, anti-codon, and T loops). RNAcentral also lists the same sequence under 2 other names. The record is from Rfam by way of RNAcentral. Lineage: Eukaryota; Metazoa; Chordata; Mammalia; Artiodactyla; Camelidae.
GAGGGUAUAGCUCGGUGGUAGAGUGUGUUCUUAGCAUGCAGGAAGUCCUGGGUUUAAUUCCUAGUACCUCCA